AUAGCCCGAGAGCCCGUGGGCUCUACCUGUAUGUAUUUGACCAGACCUGAAUUUUCGUACAUUGAGACCCCUAUACCUACCAUGCAUGAGGUGGGGACUCACUAAGCUCAAAGUGGUCGACGCGCCGAGCGCUCAGCCGUGCGAUUCUGUAAGCGUUGUUUAACAAACUCGCACGUGAAUUUGGUGUGAGUUUUCAAAUUGGCAUUCUGUAAAUUUCAUUGUAGUGCCGAAUCUACACUAGCGCCCCUCGCGGGUGAAUUGAACUAGCAAGCGUGAGUUUUUUUUACUAAAAUGUAUGAGUUGACGUUUGAAACGGCAUUCUGUAGUGUAAAUCACGUCGAAUUUCGGCAAGAACUUCGCAUCGCAAAAUCAUUUUAUUUGUCAAAUCAAAAGUUAGUGUUUUAUGUGUUUGUUGUGAGUGAGAAUAUACGAAAACGUUAUAAACCGCUGUUAAUUAUUAAAAAAAUACUAUUAAUUAACAAAAUUGCACUUUUAAAUAACUUUAUUCUUCAUCGAUAUUUUGUGGAGCGUAUGUUUUUAUUGAAAACAUUGUUGAAAGAGGCUGACGCUACGGAUCAGCGUGAAAUGCGUCGACAAGCCUACGAAAUUCACAAUUUAUCACUUUUAACUUGAGAUGACGACCAUGUAAAAGUAUAAAGAAAGUGUAUAGAUUGUCGAAGGAUCAUAUGAACCAGUUAGGGUGUGAAUUACACCCUUUGAUGAAGACCACUAAAAGCCAUUGAAAAGGACUUUCAACUCUUCUAAAGUUUCAGUUAUUGUGCACCUUGUUAUUUUUGGCCAAUUGAAGUUACCAAAAAAAUCAUAAAAGAAAAUAUAAGAACACAUUUGUCCCAGACAUCCCAGUGUAUAUCUGAGGUUGUGGAGGCUCUGAACAACCCAGCAACUAUAUAUAAAUAUUUAAGAUUCCCACAGAAUGCUCAAGAAUGGCAAAAGUUGAAGGAAAAGCAAAGAAAAAAGAAUAAGGUGGUUUAAGCUAAAUAGGAACAGAUGGCGGUGCACUAUAAAAAACAAACUGUUUCAAGGCCAUGACCACGACCCUCAGUAAUGAGGAAACCGAUGCAAGGAGGAGGAGGAGAGGUUUAAGCUAAAUAAAAAAAUGUUUUCUUCAUAAAAAAUUACCAAUAUUAAUGUAAUGCUAAAUAUUGCAGUUUUUAUGAAAAAUUUAGAAUCCUUUGGGUUAUUGGGUGUAUUGAUGGGAAGUUGGUGGCCUUAAAAAGAUCUGCUACCAAUAAAAAAUGGAUUUACUGUCGCAAAGAAUAUCAUGCAAGAAAUGUACAAUUUGUAAAGCUAUUAAUAUUUUUCGAAAUUCUGAUAUGUAAUCCAUAAACGAAAUGUGUAUUAAGAACCUAUGUAUUCAGAUUGUAUUCAUUUCAGUUAAAUUGUAAUUGUGUAUAUUGCUAUAAGUUAUUGUGAAAUAUAGUAUUUAUCUUAAAUAAACUUUAUUCAGUUAUAAUCAAAACAAAAUAAAAUCUACUAGAUUAGUCAAUGACAGCAAGUAAUGACCAUUAUAAUUAUUUAACAUCUUUUUGGGCUUUCUGUAUAUUGUCAACGUUCCAACCUUAUGACACCUUUUGCUAUAUAUUUUUUCAUUGCUUAGAUCGGUGGACGAGCUCCCAGCCUACCUGGUGUUAAAUGGUUACUGGAGCCCAUAGACAUCUACAACGUAAAUGCGCCACCCACCUUGAGAUAUAAAUUCUAAGGUCUCAGUAUAGUUACAACAGCUGCCCCACCCUUCAAACCGAAACGCAUUACUGCUUCACGGCAGAAAUAGGCGAUAACGCUAUGUUAUGCUAGCUAAUACCUGCUAAUAAUAGCUAGCUAUUGCUAAUAUGGAGGAAGAUACUCCUGAAGCUUUGUAGCACCGCCUUCAUUCCACUGCCCGUAACUCAGUAUAAAGAACAAUAGGUAUGUUAAAGUCGACUUCUGCGAGUGCACCAUCUCGCAGAAGGAGGCGGCGGGGCGCGUGAGAGACGCACAGGCCCGCCGCCGUCGAGCGGGGGCCAGGGAGGCGGAUAUCGCCCAAGCCCUGGCCCUCUAAGUGUUUCGGGUCCCCUCACAUGUCGGCCUGGGGACCGGCGAAGGGGGCCUAAGAAGACGACGUGCAAGCUGCUCUGCACGCGUUUUAUGCAUGAGCAUCCGGGUGAUGGAAGGCCGGCUAUUCUCAACCCUCGCUGGUUCUGACCCAGCGGGGUAUUCCGUAGGAUAGACCAUUCUAACCGGCGCCAUCUAGGCGGGCUUCGGAUAGCCUGCCGACCGAGAGGGCUGGUGGUCGUGGCGCCGACAACCGCCAGUCCGGCGUCCCGAGGGGGAGGGUGAUGGGAGAGAUGUGCUCUGCACUAAACGCUUCACUUUCCCCCCUUUGCCUUUUCAUGAGUUUUGUCUCAUGCGAGGUUUGGACGUUGGUUGUUGAGACAGGAGGUUUUAGUCGGUUCUACUCCGACAUGCCCCGCCCUCCAUCCCCAGUGAAGGGCGGAAGUCCGGCGAUUUCCUCCUGACAAAAAAAAAAAAAAAAAGGUAUGUUAAAGAGUAGAUUCAGGUGUUUGCUGAUCUAUAGGGUGCCAAUUUACCACCCUGAUAAGAUAGCAAAAAUAGUUGUUGCGUGUUGUGUUUUGCACAACAUUUGCAAUUGUGCAGAGCUGCCAGUUCCCAUGAUUUCAGAUGAUGAGAUUACAUGUACAUUAUGGUGGUCAUGUUGAAUUACUUUGUUAAAUUUUACUAAUUAGCUAACUUAUAGUGUGAAGUAACUUCAAAUAUAAAUUAAUGAUUUAUAAAAA
This is a long non-coding RNA of Bombyx mori (domestic silkworm), 2795 nucleotides long. RefSeq lists it as uncharacterized. The record is from RefSeq and is a predicted model, not a curated record. The transcript is spliced from 2 exons. Lineage: Eukaryota; Metazoa; Arthropoda; Insecta; Lepidoptera; Bombycidae.